RNAcentral lists this ribosomal RNA (441 nucleotides) under uncultured bacterium. RNAcentral describes it as "partial 16S ribosomal RNA". It matches the Rfam family "Bacterial small subunit ribosomal RNA", at positions 338 to 795 of the family's 1533-position model. The record is from RNAcentral.
CCUACGGGCGGCAGCAGUGGGGAAUAUUGCACAAUGGGCGAAAGCCUGAUGCAGCAACGCCGCGUGAAUGAAGACUGUUCUCGGAUUGUAAACUUCUGUUCUUAGUGAAGUAUAAUGACGGUAACUAAGGAGCAAGCCACGACUAACUACGUGCCAGCAGCCGAGGUAAGACGGAGGGGGCAAGCGUUGUCCGGAAUUACUGGGUGUAAAGGGAGCGUAGGCGGGAAGCCAAGUCAGCUGUGAAAACUUCGGGCUUAACCUGUAGACUGCAGUUGAAACUGGCUUUCUUGAGUGCAGUAGAGGUUGGCGGAAUUCCGGGUGUAGCGGUGAAAUGCUUAGAUAUUCGGAGGAACACCGGUGGCGAAGGCGGCCAACUGGGCUUUAACUGACGCUGAGGCUCGAAAGUGUGGGGAGCAAACAGGAUUAGAUACCCUAGUAGUC